RNAcentral lists this ribosomal RNA (430 nucleotides) under Pseudomonadota bacterium. Its description in RNAcentral is "Proteobacteria bacterium partial 16S ribosomal RNA". It matches the Rfam family "Bacterial small subunit ribosomal RNA", at positions 355 to 776 of the family's 1533-position model. Lineage: Bacteria; Pseudomonadati; Pseudomonadota. The record is from RNAcentral.
UGGGGAAUAUUGGACAAUGGGGGGAACCCUGAUCCAGCCAUGCCGCGUGUGUGAAGAAGGCCUUAUGGUUGUAAAGCACUUUAAGCGAGGAGGAGGGUACUGGUAUUAAUACUACCAGCUACUGGACGUUACUCGCAGAAUAAGCACCGGCUAACUCUGUGCCAGCAGCCGCGGUAAUACAGAGGGUGCGAGCGUUAAUCGGAGUUACUGGGCGUAAAGCGUGCGUAGGCGGCUAAUUGAGUCGGAUGUGAAAUCCCCGAGCUUAACUUGGGAAUUGCAUUCGAUACUGGUUAGCUAGAGUGUGGGAGAGGAUGGUAGAAUUCCAGGUGUAGCGGUGAAAUGCGUAGAGAUCUGGAGGAAUACCGAUGGCGAAGGCAGCCAUCUGGCCUAACACUGACGCUGAGGUACGAAAGCAUGGGGAGCAAACAGG